UAUCUCUAUUGUCAUUCUAUCUCCGUAGUGAUUCCACGACUCCACCUUGUGUUGAAUCAAUGGGAUGCUACUAAGUUGAAUCAAUGGCCAAAGAUUGGAGAUGCUGAGCAUGUUGAAUCAAAGAUGGUUCUAAAAUUUGAACCCAUAUUAGAUAGCGAAGGUGGUGGAGAAGCAUGGGCUGGAGACAUGCAUGUCUCUAAAUCUG
Molecule: unclassified non-coding RNA, 205 nt
Filed under: Hevea brasiliensis (rubber tree)
Lineage: Eukaryota; Viridiplantae; Streptophyta; Magnoliopsida; Malpighiales; Euphorbiaceae
Source: RNAcentral